RNAcentral lists this transfer RNA (104 nucleotides) under Pleuronectes platessa (European plaice). RNAcentral describes it as "tRNA-Val". The record is from RNAcentral. Lineage: Eukaryota; Metazoa; Chordata; Actinopteri; Pleuronectiformes; Pleuronectidae.
AUCAGGAUGGCCGAGCGGUCUCAGACUCAAGGACUGACUCUUUCCUCGUCAAGGGGAUUUCUGUUCUCCAAAUGGAGGCGUGGGUUCAAAUCCCACUUGUGACA